This is a non-coding RNA of Manis javanica (Malayan pangolin), 448 nucleotides long. NCBI's taxonomy places the organism in Eukaryota, Metazoa, Chordata, Mammalia, Pholidota, Manidae. The record is from RefSeq and is a predicted model, not a curated record.
GCGGCCCCCCGCGGGCUCAGCACUAACGCGCCGGCCCAGCAAAUCUUUUGUCGGGGGCGCUGAGCCAGCAGGCGCCGCCGCUAUUUAAACACUGGCCAAGCAGCGGCGGGUGCACCAUGGCACAGCGCUCUGGAAAGGAUCUCCUCAGGGCUCUUGGGGCUGCUUUUCUGCAAAAUACUGAGAUGUGAGGGACCUUCAAAUCCUGUGGGUGACCAGUUCUCCCUGAGUAACUCAGGGCACUCCAGCAGACCUGUCUUGUGCAGAAAGGGUGGCACACUUGAUCUCCCACCUUCUCUAGCCCCCUCUCCUAGCUACUCCCAUACAGCCGCCCUAUCUCCAGGGGCUGCGUUCAGAUCACCUUCUAUGAGGGCAAGCACUUCACAGGGCAGAAGCUGCAGGUCUUUGGAGACUGCGACAACUUCCAGGAGCAAGGCUUCAGGAACCGGGU